Molecule: ribosomal RNA, 441 nt
Filed under: uncultured bacterium
Lineage: Bacteria
Description: partial 16S ribosomal RNA
Rfam family: Bacterial small subunit ribosomal RNA
Source: RNAcentral
CCUACGGGAGGCAGCAGUGGGGGAUAUUGCACAAUGGGGGGAACCCUGAUGCAGCGACGCCGCGUGGGUGAAGGAGUAUUUCGGUAUGUAAAGCCCUAUCGGCAGGGAAGAAAUUGGACGGUACCUGACGAAGAAGCCCCGGCUAACUACGUGCCAGCAGCCGCGGUAAUACGUAGGGGGCAAGCGUUAUCCGGAUUCACUGGGGGUAAAGGGAGCGUAGACGGCCAUGCAAGCCAGGGGUGAAAGCCCGGGGCCCAACCCCGGGACUGCCCUUGGAACUGCAUGGCUGGAGUGCGGGAGGGGCAGGCGGAAUUCCUGGUGUAGCGGUGAAAUGCGUAGAUAUCAGGAGGAACACCGGCGGCGAAGGCGGCCUGCUGGACCGCGACUGACGUUGAGGCUCGAAAGCGUGGGGAGCGAACAGGAUGAGAUACCCGAGUAGUC